This 724-nucleotide ribosomal RNA is filed under the name uncultured fungus. RNAcentral's name for it is "eukaryotic LSU rRNA". The stretch from base 308 to 461 matches the Rfam family "5.8S ribosomal RNA". Lineage: Eukaryota; Fungi. The record is from RNAcentral.
AAGUCGUAACAAGGUUUCCGUAGGUGAACCUGCGGAAGGAUCAUUAACGAAUUGUAACAACUUGGCUGUCGCUGGCUCUCUCUGGGAGCAUGUGCACGCCGGUUCAAACUCUUCAUCCUUAACCUCCUGUGCACUUUUUGUGGAUCGUGGAUGGAUAACUCUCGAGGUAACACUCGGUUUUGGCGUUUGUGUUUAACACGCACUCUCUCCUCCAUCCGUUCGCGGUUCAUGUCUUUUUACACACUACAUAUUUAAACCUAGAAUGCUUCAAAGUUGGGACUUUAGUGACCCUUCUUAAAUUAAAUACAACUUUCAACAACGGAUCUCUUGGCUCUCGCAUCGAUGAAGAACGCAGCGAAAUGCGAUAAGUAAUGUGAAUUGCAGAUUUCAGUGAAUCAUCGAAUCUUUGAACGCACCUUGCGCCCUGUGGUAUUCCGCAGGGCAUGCCCGUUUGAGUGUUAUUAAAUCAUCAACCUCUAAACCUUUGUGUUUUCAGGCUUGGUCUUGAGGGUUUGCAGGCUUUUACCGGUCAGCUCCCUUUAAAUCUAUUAGCGAGACUUCCCUGUGUUGACUGUCUCUUGGCGUGAUAGUUAUCUGGGUCAAACUUGAUGGUCUCGUUGGGCUUGCUUCUAAUCGUCUUCGGACAAGCGGAUCGAAGCGCAUAUAUGCGCCUCUUUUCAAACCUUUUUAACCUCAAAUCGGGUAGGACUACCCGCUGAACUUA